CAGUAGCCGCGGUAAUACAGAGGGUGCGAGCGUUAAUCGGAUUUACUGGGCGUAAAGCGUGCGUAGGCGGCUUCUUAAGUCGGAUGUGAAAUCCCUGAGCUUAACUUAGGAAUUGCAUUCGAUACUGGGAAGCUAGAGUAUGGGAGAGGAUGGUAGAAUUCCAGGUGUAGCGGUGAAAUGCGUAGAGAUCUGGAGGAAUACCGAUGGCGAAGGCAGCCAUCUGGCCUAAUACUGACGCUGAGGUACGAAAGCAUGGGGAGCAAACAGGAUUAGAUACCCCUGUAGUCCCUGUCUCUUUACA
This 301-nucleotide ribosomal RNA is filed under the name uncultured bacterium. Its description in RNAcentral is "partial 16S ribosomal RNA". It matches the Rfam family "Bacterial small subunit ribosomal RNA", at positions 509 to 808 of the family's 1533-position model. The record is from RNAcentral.